This is a non-coding RNA of Danio rerio (zebrafish), 1571 nucleotides long. NCBI's taxonomy places the organism in Eukaryota, Metazoa, Chordata, Actinopteri, Cypriniformes, Danionidae. The record is from RefSeq and is a predicted model, not a curated record.
UGUGUUGGAGCAGGGUUAAAACUAAACUGUGCAGGGCUUUGGCCCUCCAGGAAUUGAGUUUGACACCCCUGAUCUACUAUGUGUUGGGCGCUCAAUAGAGAAGAAUUAAACGCCUUGCCAAUAGUGUGGUGAAAGCAAUUAGUCUGAAUAUUUCUUCUUUAAGCACAAUAUUUUCAGGGGUUCCAAAAAUUGCCAAUAGGGCUUCGGGUUUAAAAAGGAAACCAUACAUGAAACUAACAAUUUAAAACAUAUAUUUUCAAAACCUACCUAGAUUUGGGCUGAACACAAACAUGUGGGCGGUUGUGGCUGGGGAAUUUCCUGUUACUUUUUAAAAGAAUUGUACUGAAAUCAAACUUCUGAAGACUUGUUUUAUUUCUGUUGUUGGUUUUAGUUAAGACAUGGUGAAUGUAAAAAAUAUUUUGAGGUUCUGUCCUCAGCAAAUUACAAUCAUACACUGAUCUCAUUGAUAAGGAAUUAAUUGUGUCCUUUGCUUUAAAUUUGACUACAACUGAGAGGCUGAAACAUGUUUCAACUGCAGCAUUACACCAGAGAUUACUCAAGAGUUUUUUUGAGUCACUUAGGAAAUGCUGGAGAUUCUUACUUCAGACAGAUAAUACCAGCGUUUCACCAUUUUCUUUAUAAAGUUAAGGUGAAGGCCAGAACACACAGUAAACAAUGAUGCUGUUUAAAACCUGAUAGAAGAUACAGGAGUAAAAUCUGAGCAACUGUGCUUUACUGAAGAUGGACAAAUCAAAGCCAUCACCUUUUUUGACACCACUUUUAGUGAUAUUAACUCUUGUUGUCCUGGGAGUUUUGACUGCUGCCAUUGGAAUAGGAGCCAACUUUCUAAGAGACUGUCCUGUUCAGCCUAACAUCCCCGUCUACCUCAUAGUCUUAGGCGUAUUUGUUUUGCUGGCUUUGAUUGGGAGCCUGGGCUUACUGUAUGGUCUACAUGCUAAAGACACCUAUGAGAUGCUGCUGUUGUCUGUGCUGGUCAUCUCCGUCAGCUUCAUACUUUACCUGUUUAUAGUCUGCUGGUUCAUCACAGGGAGUUUCUGGAUAUAUUCUGUUCAUCCCCCAAGUUAUGACCCAACAACUGAACAGAAUUACUGCAACAAAACUCUUUACCUCUUUGCUUUCUGGUUGAAUACAGUCUGUUAUAGCUGCCUACUAGCUAUCUUGUUUCUUUGUAGUGGAUGUACAGUGCUUCAUAUGUGUGUAAAACCUAAUUUUCAAAGACCACCUUCAAACUCUCAGUUAGAAGUGUGAGAUUAUUUCUUUUUGCAUUGUAUCAUGAUUGUAUUUCAAGUCCAUUCAGAGGACUAAUGUUUUUACUAAGAAUCAAACCAAUGGCCUUCAUAUUCUCUAUCCUGUAUCUUCUACCAGUGUAGGGGUACAACAAAAGUAAUGUUUACCAUGAACUGAUUUGACAUAAUCAAUAUAGUUGUAUAGUUCUGUGUUUAAAUGCACAUCAUAAUGAAGACCUGAUUGUAAUGUGUCCUUUACUUGGAAAUCAUUGAUGUAAAUAUGCAGUAUAUUUGCAGUAUAAAUUAAAGAUUCUUUUAAAAGGG